GAAGGUUGCUUUCUCAGGAAGGAGUGUUCUGUAGCCAGAGAGCCUAUCACAAGUUAGUUAGCAGCUGCAUUGAGCUCUUUGGGGAAGUGGAGAAUGGACCUGGACUGUUGGAAGAACGGAACAGUGGGCUACACUCUUAACAAAUGUGAUUCAUGCAUAUGCUGUCCUCUUUUUGAAUAGAUCCCAUGAGGUACAAGUUUCCUACAAGUCUUUCACAGAAAGUAAGAUCAUUCUCUAUAAAGCAAUCUUAUGUUUUUGUGCAAAUCUUCCAUGCAUGCUGACUGCUGCUGUAGACAUGCUGGUCGUUACUUACUGCAGUGGCACUGCAGACUCUAAGUGUUUAUUCCUAUUUUUAGUGCUGUCAAGUUCACAGAAAUUGUGAAAAUAAAAACCAGUUGUGCUCAUAAGGGU
Molecule: long non-coding RNA, 411 nt
Filed under: Gallus gallus (chicken)
Lineage: Eukaryota; Metazoa; Chordata; Aves; Galliformes; Phasianidae
Description: lncRNA (ENSGALG00010003876.1)
Source: RNAcentral